This 75-nucleotide non-coding RNA is filed under the name unclassified sequences. Its description in RNAcentral is "RAGATH-26 RNA". It matches the Rfam family "RAGATH-26 RNA". From Rfam's summary of the family: Environmental. Nearby to self-cleaving ribozyme genes The record is from Rfam by way of RNAcentral.
CCGCGCACUACGGCUGAAAAUGGGGUGACAAGCGCAUCGGCUUGUUUAAGGUCAAGAAUUGCGGUUAUAUACGAU